RNAcentral lists this ribosomal RNA (908 nucleotides) under uncultured bacterium. RNAcentral describes it as "bacterial SSU rRNA". It matches the Rfam family "Bacterial small subunit ribosomal RNA", at positions 53 to 944 of the family's 1533-position model. The record is from RNAcentral.
ACUGCAGUCGAGCGAACGGAUAAGGAGCUUGCUCCUUUGAAGUUAGCGGCGGACGGGUGAGUAACACGUGGGUAACCUACCUAUAAGACUGGAAUAACUUCGGGAAACCGGAGCUAAUGCCGGAUAACAUUUGGAACCGCAUGGUUCUAAAGUAAAAGAUGGUUUUGCUAUCACUUAUAGAUGGACCCGCGCCGUAUUAGCUAGUUGGUAAGGUAACGGCUUACCAAGGCAACGAUACGUAGCCGACCUGAGAGGGUGAUCGGCCACACUGGAACUGAGACACGGUCCAGACUCCUACGGGAGGCAGCAGUAGGGAAUCUUCCGCAAUGGACGAAAGUCUGACGGAGCAACGCCGCGUGAGUGAUGAAGGUUUUCGGAUCGUAAAACUCUGUUAUUAGGGAAGAACAAAUGCGUAAGUAACUGUGCGCAUCUUGACGGUACCUAAUCAGAAAGCCACGGCUAACUACGUGCCAGCAGCCGCGGUAAUACGUAGGUGGCAAGCGUUAUCCGGAAUUAUUGGGCGUAAAGCGCGCGUAGGCGGUUUCUUAAGUCUGAUGUGAAAGCCCACGGCUCAACCGUGGAGGGUCAUUGGAAACUGGGAAACUUGAGUACAGAAGAGGAAAGUGGAAUUCCAUGUGUAGCGGUGAAAUGCGCAGAGAUAUGGAGGAACACCAGUGGCGAAGGCGACUUUCUGGUCUGUAACUGACGCUGAUGUGCGAAAGCGUGGGGAUCAAACAGGAUUAGAUACCCUGGUAGUCCACGCCGUAAACGAUGAGUGCUAAGUGUUAGGGGGUUUCCGCCCCUUAGUGCUGCAGCUAACGCAUUAAGCACUCCGCCUGGGGAGUACGACCGCAAGGUUGAAACUCAAAGGAAUUGACGGGGACCCGCACAAGCGGUGGAGCAUGUGG